GAUGAAUUGUGGGUAGCGGAGAAAUUCCAAUCGAACCCGGAGAUAGCUGGUUCUCUCCGAAAUAGCUUUAGGGCUAGCCUCGACUGAACAUUACCGGAGGUAGAGCACUGAAUGGGCUAGGGGCCGAGAGGUUACUGAACCCUAUCAAACUUCAAAUGCCGGAAAAUGAUAGUCGGGAGUCAGACUGCGUGAGAUAAGUUUCGUAGUCGAAAGGGAAACAGCCCAGACCCACAGCUAAGGUCCCAAAGUACGGUUAAGUGGAAAAGGAUGUGGAGUUGCACAGACAACCAGGAUGUUGGCUUAGAAGCAGCCACUCAUUAAAAGAGUGCGUAAUAGCUCACUGGUCGAGUGACUCUGCGCCGAAAAUUUAACGGGGCUAAAUCGUACACCGAAGCUUGGGAUGUAUCUAUGAUACAUGGUAGGAGAGCGUUGAAUGCGGGGUGAAGUCAGAGCGAAAGCGCUGGUGGACUGCAUUGAAGUGAGAAUGCCGGAAUGAGUAGCGAGAUUUAUGUGAGAAUCAUAAAGGCCGAAAGACUAAGGUUUCAGAAGGAAGGUUCGUCCGCUUCUGGUUAGCCGGGAGCUAAGGUGAGGCCGAAAGGCGUAGCCGAUGCACAUACGGUGGAGAUUCCGUAGCCGUCGAAAUAUUUAAGCAAAGGGACACUUAUGAAGGACAUGACCCGGGCGAUGGUAGCCCCGGGCGUAAGGGACUGAAAACAAGUAAGGAAGCAUGUUUGGAUUAAGGCGAGAAAAGCUUUGUGUAUAUAUGAGACGUCCGUACCGCAAACCGACACAGGUAGUCAGGAAGAGGAUUCUAAGGCCAACGGGAGAAGGGUAGUUAAGGAACUCGGCAAAUUGACCCCGUAACUUCGGGAUAAGGGGCGGUGCGUAAGCACCCGCAGUGAAUAGGUCCAGGCGACUGUUUAUCAAAAACACAGCUCUCUGCUAAAUCGAAAGAUGACGUAUAGGGGGUGACACCUGCCCGGUGCUGGAAGGUUAAGAGGAGGAGUGCAAGCUCCGAAUUGAAGCCCCAGUAAACGGCGGCCGUAACUAUAACGGUCCUAAGGUAGCGAAAUUCCUUGUCGGGUAAGUUCCGACCCGCACGAAUGGUGUAACGAUCUGGACGCUGUCUCAACUGCCCACCCGGCGAAAUUGUAGUACCGGUGAAGAUGCCGGUUACCCGCGGCAAGACGGAAAGACCCCAUGGAGCUUUACUGUAACUUGAUAUUGGGUCUUGGUAUUCUAUGUACAGGAUAGGCGGGAGACUAUGAAACAUACACGCCAGUGUAUGCGGAGUCACCCUUGGGAUACCGCUCUUAGAGUACUGAGAUUCUAACCUGCGGCCGUGAAUCCGGUCGGGGGACAUUGUCAGGUGGGCAGUUUGACUGGGGCGGUCGCCUCCUAAAAGGUAACGGAGGCGCUCAAAGGUUAGCUCAGCACGGUCGGAAACCGUGCCUCUGAGUGCAAACGCAAAAGCUAGCCUAACUGCGAGGCUGACGGGCCGAGCAGUAACGAAAGUUGGAGUUAGUGAUCCGGCGGUAUGUGAAUGGAAAUGCCGUCGCUCAACGGAUAAAAGCUACCCUGGGGAUAACAGGCUGAUCU
RNAcentral lists this ribosomal RNA (1599 nucleotides) under human gut metagenome. RNAcentral describes it as "bacterial LSU rRNA". It matches the Rfam family "Bacterial large subunit ribosomal RNA", at positions 803 to 2488 of the family's 2925-position model. The record is from RNAcentral.